ACAGAUUUAGCUCAGAGUUUGAGCUCCUGCCUCGCAUGCAGAAGACCCUGGAUUCCAUUCCCAGAGUUAUUC
This 72-nucleotide transfer RNA is filed under the name Neotoma lepida (desert woodrat). It matches the Rfam family "tRNA". From Rfam's summary of the family: Transfer RNA (tRNA) molecules are approximately 80 nucleotides in length. Their secondary structure includes four short double-helical elements and three loops (D, anti-codon, and T loops). Lineage: Eukaryota; Metazoa; Chordata; Mammalia; Rodentia; Cricetidae. The record is from Rfam by way of RNAcentral.